Microtus oregoni (creeping vole) is the source of this 383-nucleotide long non-coding RNA. RefSeq lists it as uncharacterized. The record is from RefSeq and is a predicted model, not a curated record. The transcript is spliced from 3 exons. NCBI's taxonomy places the organism in Eukaryota, Metazoa, Chordata, Mammalia, Rodentia, Cricetidae.
GAUAAAGGCCAAGGAACAAGUUGCUCACAGGUACUGCCAUCACAUUUGUGACAUGGGUUUGGAGGCUACUGUGUUCUGAGCUCUGGAGAUAAAAUGCAGGUCUUUAUGCUUACAUGAAAAACACUUCACUGACUGACUUGCUUCUCUGACCCGAGGCAUUUGGUCUCUGUACCCUCUGGAAAGCCUGCUGCAGAAUAGAAGAACAAGUGUCCAGAUGUCCUGUUUCUUCAGGUGUAAGAUAGCCGGGUGCCUGGGACGACAAGCAGCCUGCUCCUCCUGUUACAAAAGACUGAUUUAAAAUAGCUCAGAGAUUGAUCCCGAAUUUCCUGAGAAACCGAAACACUGCUUUCCAGAGUGGUUGCACAAGUUUGCAUUCCCACCAG